AUGUUCACUUUAUUUCUCUUGCUGUUGCUGGCUGCUGUGUCUUGUAUUGACUCUCAGGUUGUGCUCACACAGUCUGAACAGUCAGUAGUUGUGGCUCCAGGUGCUUCCUACAAACUGACCUGUGCCUGCAGUGGGUUUACUGCUAGUAGCACUAGCAUGCACUGGAUCCGUCAGGCACCUGGAAAAGGACUGGAAUGGAUUAUUUAUUAUUAUUCAGAUUCUUAUAAGAGCUCAGCUCAGUCAGUGCAGGACAGAUUCACAGCAUCUAAGGACAGCUCUUAUCUCUAUCUGCAUAUGAAUCAGCUGAAGACUGAAGACACUGCAGUGUAUUACUGUGCAAGAGAGACACAGUGA
This is a non-coding RNA of Sinocyclocheilus grahami, 354 nucleotides long. Lineage: Eukaryota; Metazoa; Chordata; Actinopteri; Cypriniformes; Cyprinidae. The record is from the annotation of a RefSeq genome assembly.